Molecule: transfer RNA, 74 nt
Filed under: Sphingobacteriia bacterium
Lineage: Bacteria; Pseudomonadati; Bacteroidota; Sphingobacteriia
Also listed under: 1 other name
Description: tRNA-Gln
Rfam family: tRNA
About the family: Transfer RNA (tRNA) molecules are approximately 80 nucleotides in length. Their secondary structure includes four short double-helical elements and three loops (D, anti-codon, and T loops).
Source: RNAcentral
UGCCCGAUCGUCUAAUGGCAGGACUUCAGAUUUUGGUUCUGACUAUGUUGGUUCGAAUCCAGCUCGGGCAACAA